Molecule: ribosomal RNA, 468 nt
Filed under: uncultured bacterium
Lineage: Bacteria
Description: partial 16S ribosomal RNA
Rfam family: Bacterial small subunit ribosomal RNA
Source: RNAcentral
GACGAACGCUGGCGGCGUGCUUAACACAUGCAAGUCGAACGGAAAGGCCCUGCUUUUGUGGGGUGCUCGAGUGGCGAACGGGUGAGUAACACGUGAGUAACCUGCCCUUGACUUUGGGAUAACUUCAGGAAACUGGGGCUAAUACCGGAUAGGAGCUCCUGCUGCAUGGUGGGGGUUGGAAAGUUUCGGCGGUUGGGGAUGGACUCGCGGCUUAUCAGCUUGUUGGUGGGGUAGUGGCUUACCAAGGCUUUGACGGGUAGCCGGCCUGGGAGGGUGACCGGCCACAUUGGGAUUGAGGUACGGCCCAGACUCCUACAGGAGGCAACAGUGGGGAAUAUUGCACAAUGGGCGGAAGCCUGAUGCGGAGACGCCGCGUGCGGGAUGACGGCCUUCGGGUUGUAAACCGCUUUCGCCUGUGACGAAGCGUGAGUGACGGUAAUGGGUAAAGAAGCACCGGCUAACUACGUG